CCUACGGGUGGCAGCAGUAGGGAAUAUUGCUCAAUGGGGGAAACCCUGAAGCAGCAACGCCGCGUGGAGGAUGAAGGUUUUCGGAUUGUAAACCCCUUUUGUUAGAGAAGAUAAUGACGGUAUCUAACGAAUAAGCACCGUCUAACUCCGUGCCAGCAGCCGCGGUAAUACGGAGGGUGCCAGCGUUACUCGGAAUCACUGGGCGUAAAGAGCGCGUAGGCGGGUUAGCAAGUCAGAUGUGAAAUCCUAUGGCUUAACCAUAGAACUGCAUUUGAAACUGGUAGUCUAGAGUAUGGGAGAGGUAGGUGGAAUUCGUGGUGUAGGGGUAAAAUGCGUAGAGAUCAAGAGGAAUACUCAUUGCGAAGGCGGCCUGCUAGAACAUAACUGACGCUGAUGCGCGAAAGCGUGGGGAGCAAACAGGAUUAGAUACCCCUGUAGUC
Molecule: ribosomal RNA, 440 nt
Filed under: uncultured bacterium
Lineage: Bacteria
Description: partial 16S ribosomal RNA
Rfam family: Bacterial small subunit ribosomal RNA
Source: RNAcentral